AAUAGAUACCCGGGUAGUCCACGCCGUAAACGAUGAAUGCUAGGUGUUAGGGGUUUCGAUACCCUUGGUGCCGAAGUUAACACAUUAAGCAUUCCGCCUGGGGAGUACGGUCGCAAGACUGAAACUCAAAGGAAUUGACGGGGACCCGCACAAGCAGUGGAGUAUGUGGUUUAAUUCGAAGCAACGCGAAGAACCUUACCAGGUCUUGACAUCCCUCUGACCGUCCUAGAGAUAGGGCUUUCCUUCGGGACAGAGGAGACAGGUGGUGCAUGGUUGUCGUCAGCUCGUGUCGUGAGAUGUUGGGUUAAGUCCCGCAACGAGCGCAACCCUUGAUCUUAGUUGCCAGCACCUCGGGUGGGCACUCUAGGAUGACUGCCGGUGACAAACCGGAGGAAGGUGGGGAUGGACGUCAAAUCAUCAUGCCCCCUUAUGACCUGGGCUACACACGUACUACAAUGGCCGAUACAACGGGAAGCGAAACCGCGAGGUGGAGCGAAUCCUAUCAAAGUCGGUCUCAGUUCGGAUUGCGAGGCUGCAACUCG
RNAcentral lists this ribosomal RNA (542 nucleotides) under uncultured bacterium. Its description in RNAcentral is "bacterial SSU rRNA". It matches the Rfam family "Bacterial small subunit ribosomal RNA", at positions 777 to 1314 of the family's 1533-position model. The record is from RNAcentral.